AUUUAAAUAGCUUAUUUAGAGCAUAAUUUUGAAGAGAUUAAGGUAGUUUUAAACUUUUAAAUA
This 63-nucleotide transfer RNA is filed under the name Luperomorpha hainana. RNAcentral describes it as "tRNA-Phe". Lineage: Eukaryota; Metazoa; Arthropoda; Insecta; Coleoptera; Chrysomelidae. The record is from RNAcentral.